GCCAGACUCCUACGGGAGGCAGCAGUCGGGAAUAUUGCGCAAUGGAGGAAACUCUGACGCAGUGACGCCGCGUGCAGGAAGAAGGUUUUCGGAUUGUAAACUGCUUUAGACAGGGAAGAAAAAAGACAGUACCUGUAGAAUAAGCUCCGGCUAACUACGUGCCAGCAGCCGCGGUAAUACGUAGGGAGCAAGCGUUAUCCGGAUUUACUGGGUGUAAAGGGCGUGUAGGCGGGGACGCAAGUCAGAUGUGAAAACCACGGGCUCAGCCUGUGGCCUGCAUUUGAAACUGUUUUUCUUGAGUACUGGAGAGGCAGACGGAAUUCCUAGUGUAGCGGUGAAAUGCGUAGAUAUUAGGAGGAACACCAGUGGCGAAGGCGGUCUGCUGGACAGCAACUGACGCUGAGGCGCGAAAGCGUGGGGAGCAAACAGGAUUAGAUACCCGGGUAUA
RNAcentral lists this ribosomal RNA (448 nucleotides) under uncultured bacterium. RNAcentral's name for it is "bacterial SSU rRNA". It matches the Rfam family "Bacterial small subunit ribosomal RNA", at positions 330 to 794 of the family's 1533-position model. The record is from RNAcentral.